Long non-coding RNA from Colossoma macropomum (tambaqui), 695 nucleotides. RefSeq lists it as uncharacterized. The record is from RefSeq and is a predicted model, not a curated record. The transcript has 5 exons. Lineage: Eukaryota; Metazoa; Chordata; Actinopteri; Characiformes; Serrasalmidae.
CGGAUGAAAAUGGGGGAUGUGGGCCAGAUCUGGGCCAGAAUAAUUUUGCUAUCUGUGUAAUUGCGUAUUAGUGUUUGUGAGUCUGUGUCUCUAAUGCUGCCCUCUACUGACUGAACAAAUAUUAAAUCUUUCUCUCAGUUACACAGUUCACUGUGUGAGAGCUUUUAUUUGCUUUUGUUUGACAUUGUUUGACAUUCUAAAUGUAUUUCUAACAGGAAGUUUCCUCUCUGAAGAACAGCAUUCAGGAUAUGAGGAUGUGGAUGAGGAGCUUCCCGCAGCAAAGGCUGUGAAUGAGGAAAAAGCUGAAUAUUAUAAUGAUGUCACCAUCAGUGGCCUGAAAAGUGAGGUGGGAACAGAGGACACUCCAGAGAACUAUGAUGAUGUCAUCUCAAACUUCGGAAGAAUUAGCAAAGAACGAGGUGAAGAUCUAUGAUGAGGCCAUUCCUACUGGAGAGAAUCUACACAUUACAGCAGGCUGUGAUGAUGUGGUAGAGGUGUCUAAGAAAGAGGGACAGACCACGUGACAGAGACUCAAACAAUACCAAAUGUGUUAUUUUUUUUUUUUUUGUUUGUUUUUUGUUUUUUUUGUAUUUUGUAUUCUUUUGUGACAUUUCUCAUUAAACGUUUUUCUUUUUAAAAAGGAAAAUUAAAAUGUUUAGCUCAUCAUAUUCUAAACCACUUUGCCUUUUUUUCCA